AACCGUCAACGAAUGCCUUUUUUUCCCUGAUCGUUACAAACGCGGAAAGAAGGGAAGAGAUUGAAGAGAUAACCGCGGCAUUGAGGAGGUUUCUUUCUUUCUUUGACCCCCGCAAAAUCUCCCUACCUACCAGCCAUAGGUAUCCUGCUAUUUUUCCCAUCAAUUGUCGAGUUCGAGCGAAGCUGCAUCGAUUCAGUCUGGCGAGUUUGUUGCUUGAGCUUCCUUGCGGAGGACCUUAGGUACCAGAGCCAACCUUUCCCCCCCAUUAACCAACGGGCGCGCGAGAGAAAAAUCGGGUUGCCGCUGUUCAACUUAUGUUCUCACAUUCCUCGCGCUAUUUGUUCAAAUAAGGGGGACAACAAAAAGACCGAAAGAAAAGAAAAGAAAAAGAAAUAAAAAGAAGAAAAAAAUCAAGUCCCAUCGGCCCUUUGUUUUUGGUAUUUCGUUUCGUUAAAAGUCCGGUUCCAUUCGAUUUUUCCGAUCGCGUAAGUGGGUGUGUACCUUUGCGGGAUUUGAGCUGGGUUUUCAAGCAACGCUUGUUCCGUUUCAAUCUCGGUUUUGGAUUUGUAUGUUGCGAGGGGUUGUUGGUGAAGUUUGAAGUUGUGUAGGUUGUGGGAAAUUGGCUUUCGCAUUGAGGAGCGAGGGAAGGUUGCGCGCGCGCGUGUCUGUGUCUGGGUGUGUAAUCGAGAGAGAGAGAGAGAAGCGGGGGGGAGAAGAGAGACUGACUGUGUGAUACACGUUGAAACAGAGGCCGGCGAACGAAAAGGACAGGGAUUUAAGAGAAAGAAGAGAUAACACGCGAAAAGAAAGGAGAGAAGAUAGAAAGUUACGGCCAGGAUGGUUGAUUAUGAAACUCGUGGGCCCCGAGGCGGGUAUAAUCAUAAUCAGAGGAAGAGGCGGUUUCGAGACGAUGAUGAUUACGAUCGCAGACAGCAGCGGCGGAGAUACGAGGAGCCCUUUGCGGUGACAGUGCGGAAACAAUUGGCAACGAUUGCGGAGUCUGCUGUGAGGAAGGUUGAAGACGACGUUGUACGAAUUGCGAAGACAGUGUCGGAACACUAUGAAGACGAGGAUGGGGAGGUUAAGAAUACUUUUGUGAAUUUAGCUUUGCAACUCGUGGCCGAGCAACCACUUAAAAUCCCCUUCGUCGCUGCGACGGUGCUCACAGCCAACACGAUGAAACCGGAAUUAGCAGCGGAAGUGCUGAAGAAAGCUGGGCAAAUUGCCCAGUCGCAUAUUGAGGCGGGUGACUGGCGCAAUGUCAAGCUCGUCCUGCGGUUUUUAGCCUGCUUGCAGGGCCUAUUUGAAGGCGAAGGCAUUUUUCCGUUGCUGGAGGAGCUGUUUUCGCGCGCAGUCGAUUUACAAACGGGUUCCUCGGAGGAUUCCCUGGGCUUGGAACUUGUGAAGAUCAUCCUUUUCACAAUCCCGUAUAUUAUGUCGUCGUCUGCUUCUGGCUUCGAGGCGCAUGCUUCGGCCCUCCUUGAGAAAACAGACAUUAUCGCCUCGACGCCACAUACUUUGGAGGCGCUGGUCGACCCCUUCCCUUCGGAUGAGGUCAAGGAGGACAAUCGAAUGAGCGUCAUUGGCCUUCUACAAAAACAGCUACAAGAAGAGGCAAAGCGAGGCUGGGAGCUUUCAUGUAUUCCACGUCCCUGGACUGGGCUAAUCCCAACGACCAAACCAGAGGCGGCACGCGAAGGUGAAGAAAAAAAUGGAGACGAAACAAUAGAAGAGAAACCAGAAGCGGAAACAAAACAGGAAGCUGAAGAUCCCUUCAAGAUUGCAACCAGGCACGGAUUCCCGUUAAUUGCCGUGCCAAACCCAGUACCCAACGGACCUAAAUCUAUAUUCCCAGACGUCUAUUUCUCCGUCUACAUUAACCAGGAACUGGAAACUGUCCCGCCCACCACAGACAUCGCCGCAUCUCUACUCCGCGACAAUCUCACCGACACAAUCGACAUACUCGACUUCAACCGCAUCGCCACCGCGAAAUUCCUCAUUGACGUCGAUUGCUAUUUCGCACCCAAUACUUUCAUCAAGCGCGCCACCCCUUUCGAUAAGAUCCGCGACGCUGUCGCAGCGGGUGCCGGUGAUCGCUCGACCUGGAAACCCGAGGAUGUCGCUGUUGACGCGGUGUUUUCGUUGCUCCUCCAGCUCCCCACGCCGGAGCAUAAGCUGGUCUACUACCACUCUGUGCUCACGGAGGCGUGCAAGAUUGCGCCUGCGGCUAUUGCGCCGAGUUUGGGAAGGUCGAUUCGUUUUUUGUAUAAGAAUAUGGAGAGAAUGGAUCUCGCGCUCUCCUAUCGGUUUUUGGAUUGGUUUGCGCAUCAUUUAAGUAAUUUUGGGUUUACAUGGAAGUGGACAGAAUGGGUUGACGAUGUUGAACUGCCAGCCGUUCACCCUAAGAAAGCGUUCAUCUGCGCUGCAUUGGAUAAAGAAAUUCGUUUAAGCUUUGCGCAGCGCAUCAAAGGCACAUUGCCGGAACCAUACCAGGCCUUAAUAUCUGAAGCGAAAGAGAAAGAUACCCCGGAUUUCAAAUACGCGCUUGAAUCAACUCCCUAUGCUGCCGAGGCACAAGAAAUCAUGCAACUCAUCCGCAAAAAAGCCCCGGAUGCCGAAAUCGAACCGCACAUCCUCGCCAUCCAACACGCCGCCGCCAACCAAACAGACACGGCGGACUCUCUAAUCCCUUCUACAGAUGCUUUCGUCACCUCAAUCUGCUACGUCGGCUCCAAAUCCCUCUCCCAUGUCCUCUCCUGCAUCGAGCGCAGCAAAGAGCGUCUCCUCUCCAUCGGGCCCCAAUCACCCGCCGCACGACGCCAAAUCAUCACCUCAGUCCUCUCCUACUGGGCUGACCAACCAGGCAUCGGCGUGAACAUCAUCGAUAAACUGCUCAACUAUACCAUUCUGACGCCGCUGUCAGUCAUCGAGUGGGCGCUUGUCGAUCACAUUGAGGGCGGCGCGGCGUUGGCGAAGGCGCAUGUGUAUGAGAUGGUUGCCGCGACGAUGGGGAAGGUGACUAACCGGAUUCGCCAGAUUGUGGUGGCGAGGGUGCAGCGGGGUAUUGUGGAGCCGCAGCUGUCUGUUAUUGACGAGACACUGCGGAGAGAGAGGGGCGAAGUGCAGGUUAUGUUUGAGGUUAUUGAGGGGGCGCUUGAGGG
This 3161-nucleotide small RNA is filed under the name Histoplasma capsulatum var. duboisii H88. RNAcentral describes it as "Histoplasma capsulatum H88 hypothetical RNA". Lineage: Eukaryota; Fungi; Ascomycota; Eurotiomycetes; Onygenales; Ajellomycetaceae. The record is from RNAcentral.